This 562-nucleotide long non-coding RNA is filed under the name Nicotiana tabacum (common tobacco). RNAcentral's name for it is "long non-coding RNA (NTAB_LNC016807)". The record is from RNAcentral. Lineage: Eukaryota; Viridiplantae; Streptophyta; Magnoliopsida; Solanales; Solanaceae.
UAAAAUUGAGAUUGACUUUGCGCUUAAUGAAGUUAGUAGGGGCUUUGGCACCUAAUGUUACAUUUUGACCGGGGGCGCCACUCUUUAUUUAUAUAUAGUUAUAUACUUCUAUACGUGAAAAUAUUAAUACAUUCAUCUAUUUCUAUCGAGCGACUAGGUGGCGAACAAACCCCUAUUCUAUAUACCGCCGCCAGGUGUAAAUGUAAUUGGUGGGAGACAGGCUAUGCACCUACAUGAUGUUAUAGAAUGGUCACAAUAACUUUUAGCAACUAUAUUUAUACCAACUUGAAGUUUAACACAAAGAUCGUGACAUUCUUCAUCUUUCACACAAAUUCCCCAGGGGUGCUCUAUAAGCUGGUUUUCACACUGUUCUGCCUUUGCAUCUGUUAAAAAAAAUGUCAAAACUUUAUAUUUAUUAUUUUUUAAUUAACAAAAUAAAUUAAUUUCUUAAAAUAAUACCCACUUAGUGAUGCAAAAGUGAAGAUCAUAAAAGUCAGGAGAACAACGAUUCGUGAUGUAGUCAUUUUUGCUUCUGAUCUCAAAUGCAUUAAAAACACUAUAA